GCCCAGCAUGGUGGCACAUGCCUAUAAUCUGCUGCCAGGGAGGCUGAGGCUUGAGCUCAAGGGCUCUGAGCUGCAGUGGGCUAUGCACAGUAGAUGAUGAUCACUCUAAGUUUGGCAUCAAUAUGGUGAGCCACUGGGAGCAGGGUAGAUCACCUAAAGAAGGAAGAAUCAGUCCAGGUCAGAAAUUGAGCAGAAAAAAGCUUUUGUGCUGAUCAGUAUUGUGAACAGGCUUGUGAGUGGUUCCUAUGCCUUUAGCCUGAGCAAAACAGGGAAACCUU
RNAcentral lists this non-coding RNA (278 nucleotides) under Phascolarctos cinereus (koala). Lineage: Eukaryota; Metazoa; Chordata; Mammalia; Diprotodontia; Phascolarctidae. The record is from RNAcentral.